RNAcentral lists this long non-coding RNA (1098 nucleotides) under Homo sapiens (human). Its description in RNAcentral is "HSALNT0298634". Lineage: Eukaryota; Metazoa; Chordata; Mammalia; Primates; Hominidae. The record is from RNAcentral.
CACAGAUGGAAGGUUUUGGCUGUGUUAGGUCAAUGCAUGGGGAAAGGUGUCAGCUUCCCCACCGUGCAGUCAGUGUUGUGCAAAAGCAGAGGCAGGAUCUGAGGGCAAGACAAACUGGGGGCUCCUGCUUGAUUGUCUCACCUGCCCCUCUUUGGCAGCGGGUUGUGUCCCUGGCCUUUUAGACCUAAGCAGAGAGGGAAUUUCAAGUCAGGUGGCGCCUGUACAGUCUAUGGAAUAGGUAGUUAAUGAGGUCUGGAGUUGAUGUUGCCUUCCUCUCCUUCUCUGAUCACUUUCAUGUCACUCACCCAUCCCAGAUGCCAUGGUGUUCUCAAUGCCCCAGUUCUGGGGUUUCCUGCCCCACUCCACCUUUCCUUUCCUGAUCCUCAAGAAAACUGACUUCUUUUCCUAAGCCCCCCGUCUCCACUUUGUGAGGGGCAUUCUGAGCAUGGAGGCUAAUCAAUAUGUUCUCAGUAUCCAAUGGAAGCCUAACGUGCCACCUCUUCCAAGGGCAGUGCAUUUUAACUCAGACCCAACGCCCCAACCAAAUGAAAGAUCUCUAAUCUGGAAUUUUCAACAAUGGGGCUGGUGGGUCAGGGUGCACCAGAUCUCAGGAGGUUUAUCCAGAAGACUUUCAAGUGCCCCAAGAGGCUGAGUGGUCCGCCAAGUGCCUGCAUGUGUGCAGUCAGGAAGCUUGAGUCUGGGUUCUGCCUGGGGCAAGUCACUACAACUCCCAGAGCCUCAUUUCUGCUAUUCGUAAAAUGGAGAAGACACCUCCUAUGAUAUCAAGUCACUGACUUGUUCCCAGGUGCUAAAAAAUGAAAUUACAUUGCUUAGCCUUGAAACUGUGCAACCUUUCAACUGCUGAUGAAAACAACCUCAGCAAGAUGAAAAUUUCUCCAUUUUCCUGAAACUAUUCUGCAUCAUAAAAUUCAUUGCAGUCCUUUCUGCACCUGGAUAUCCUCAGCAUUAACAAUAACACCAUCAACUCACUCAUUGGACUUCAUGAAUGUGUGGUGGAGCCUCCUGAGGAUUUAACUUUCAAUACCAUGACUUAUUGAUGAGACUUGUAAUCAACAAUAAAAUUGGAAGGCCUCCUAA